This 460-nucleotide ribosomal RNA is filed under the name uncultured bacterium. RNAcentral describes it as "partial 16S ribosomal RNA". It matches the Rfam family "Bacterial small subunit ribosomal RNA", at positions 338 to 795 of the family's 1533-position model. The record is from RNAcentral.
CCUACGGGAGGCAGCAGUGAGGAAUAUUGGUCAAUGGGCUAAGGCCUGAACCAGCCAAGUCGCGUGAGGGAAGACGGUCCUAUGGAUUGUAAACCUCUUUUAUAGGGGAAUAAAGGUAUCCACGUGUGGAUAUUUGCAUGUACCCUAUGAAUAAGCAUCGGCUAACUCCGUGCCAGCAGCCGCGGUAAUACGGAGGAUGCGAGCGUUAUCCGGAUUUAUUGGGUUUAAAGGGUGCGUAGGUUGUUUUUUAAGUCAGCGGUGAAAGUUUGUGGCUCAACCAUAAAAUUGCCGUUGAAACUGGAAGACUUGAGUGUGUUUGAGGUAGGCGGAAUGCGUGGUGUAGCGGUGAAAUGCAUAGAUAUCACGCAGAACUCCGAUUGCGAAGGCAGCUUACUAAGCCAUAACUGACACUGAAGCACGAAAGCGUGGGGAUCAAACAGGAUUAGAUACCCCAGUAGUC